This 55-nucleotide transfer RNA is filed under the name Fusarium pseudograminearum CS3220. RNAcentral's name for it is "tRNA-Ser". RNAcentral also lists the same sequence under 1 other name. Lineage: Eukaryota; Fungi; Ascomycota; Sordariomycetes; Hypocreales; Nectriaceae. The record is from RNAcentral.
CGGGAUCAGAAAUUAGUGGCUGGCUGAUUUCGAAGAAAUAUGCCCUGAUCCCGCC